UAAAUUCGCUUAUCACUGAUAAUACUUAAUCAAUUAUGUCGCUAUAAAACGCGUUUGAAAACGGAAUUUUUAAGUUUUCAGAAGGUUAUGAUCUUCAUCUUUGCUGUUUGUAAGCUACGUCAUAUUAGAGUAUGUACAUAGAUAAGAACAGGAAAAUAAAGCUGGCCAAUAUUCGGAUGAAAACGAUGCCGGUCGAAUUCCGAAAAACCUUCACGAAUUACUUAUAUACAUAUAAAUGUAUGUAUGUAGUUCAUCAUGACCUUCUUGAAUCUGUUUAAACCAUUACGGUAUGUCUCGGAUCAAUGUAUGUAGCUCGAUAGAGAACACUCUUCGGUUUUAUUUUCGCCGGGAAGUCUCAGUUGUUUUACACUGGCGGAAGAACUACUUUACGAUUAAAAAGUAUAUAAAUCAAUGCUGCGUUUAGCGCCAUAUUCCCCCAUGCUAAACCCCAUUGAAAUAAUCUGGGGAAAAAUCAAAAUGCAUGUAAAGGGGCAUAUCUCAAACCCAGUCAUAAAUGGGCCAAACAUUGUUGAACAACGGCUGCAAUAUUUGGAGAAUUUGGUGGAUGACGCGAAAACUAUAAUCCUCGGAGGAGACUGCGCGAGAGUAUUUCAGCACGCAACAUCUUUCCAUGGAAAUGCUUUAUCUUUACAAGAUAUGCAAGUUGGGACAUAAUAAACUUGCAUUUUUAAUAACAUCUAAAUAAUUUCUGAAUAAAAACGAGUUUCUCAUUUCCAAAUGA
Rhagoletis pomonella (apple maggot) is the source of this 742-nucleotide long non-coding RNA. RefSeq lists it as uncharacterized. Lineage: Eukaryota; Metazoa; Arthropoda; Insecta; Diptera; Tephritidae. The record is from RefSeq and is a predicted model, not a curated record. The transcript is spliced from 2 exons.